Molecule: ribosomal RNA, 301 nt
Filed under: uncultured bacterium
Lineage: Bacteria
Description: partial 16S ribosomal RNA
Rfam family: Bacterial small subunit ribosomal RNA
Source: RNAcentral
CAGUCGCCGCGGUAAUACGAAGGGGGCUAGCGUUGUUCGGAUUUACUGGGCUUAAAGGGUGCGUAGGCGGAUUGUUAAGUCAGGGGUGAAAUCCCGAGGCUCAACCUCGGAACUGCCUUUGAUACUGGCGAUCUUGAGUCCGGGAGAGGUGAGUGGAACUGCGAGUGUAGAGGUGAAAUUCGUAGAUAUUCGCAAGAACACCGGUGGCGAAGGCGGCUCACUGGCCCGGUACUGACGCUGAGGCACGAAAGCGUGGGGAGCAAACAGGAUUAGAUACCCCAGUAGUCCCUGUCUCUUAUAC